AUGACAAGUAGAUAUUUUAUUUAAAAUUGAAAGCCCUUUCUGAAAUUGCAUAGGUAUAAUUUUGUAAGCAAUGGAUGUUUAGGAUUUCCAGAUGAGUCCUUGCUUAUGAUCAAGGUCAUCAAGUGAGGACUGCUAAAUCCUGUUGGUUAAUUUAUUUUUAGAGUUAUGCCCAAGGUCAUUGGAUCUCACCACAGAAUACAAAGAUUCUAAUGAUUAAGCUCUCUGCACCCCUAACACCCUCUCCUCUCUCCCUUUGGAUCUUCAGUUUCCUUCGGGAUUUUUAGGAAUCAGGACUACCACUUACUCAGUCACUGGGCUAGUAGCCUCAAUAAGAUGGCCUGAGUGUCUCAGCACUCUCAGAAAGUCAAGAUCAAAUUGGGAUCCAGGUAAGAUGGAUCUGAAGAUAAAGAGGUUUUAUGACCCGAGUUGGCCCCUGGAAUCCGCAUGGUAGAAGGAGAAAAUUGACCCCUGACAGGUGUCCUCUGAUCUCCACAUGUGCAUCUACUGGAUAUGAGUGUGUCCACCCUAGUCAAUCAAACAAACAUAAAUCAAAUACAUAAAUAUAAAAAAAUCAAACCUUCAUUCCAAGCCCAUCCUUUGGAGUGUUUCAGAAAAGGUAAAGCUUACUUAAAACUUUCAACGCAUGGGAUCAUGCUGGGAAGCACUGCUACUUGCAUACUUGCAUUCUCUGCUAUGAGCAUCUUUAAACGCAUAUCUUGUCCCUAUUCUGCAAUCAUUUAGGUCUCUAAAAUCUCAGGUUCAGAUUUUUAAGAGUCUCUCAAAUAAUGUAGCCCAUAUUUAAAAAUCUUACAAUCCUCAUGUCCUUCCAAAUAAGAAGAAAACCUAUUCCUAAGGCUGCGUUCCUUACCAUAGUCAUAAAGAAUGCUAACAUAAAUGAUUCAGUACUCUGGUGUAAGGGCACAUUUUAAUGCCUUUCAGGUUCUGCUGCAGAAGCCAUUCAAACUCUCAGCAGCUUAUAACCACAGCAUCUUCUUCUGAUCUACACCACAUGAUCAUCAGUGGCUGUGGUUCUGCCCCAUGCAGCGGCCCUGACAAUGCAUUUGUCUUGACAUCCCCCAGAUUUGGGUUGAAAGAAGCUCCUAUUUGCUUCAUGCUGUUUUCAAAAAGAGAACAGAGGUGGAAAUGGCUCCAGCAAAUUGUGAGCCUAUAAAUAAAACUGUAGCAUAUCAAAGAGCUGAGUGAAAAAUUAAGAUGUUUAAUAAAAUCCACUAUAUUCAUUUUCAAUUCUAACAAAACUUUAGUUUUAACUUACUUUCCAAGGAUUUCCUAAACAUAUUCAUAUUCAUAUGAGUUUUAUUUAAAUUCUGUGGAUUAACCAUCAUAUCCCACCUGAAUGAGAAGAAAGUGCACCUUAGUGGGGUUUAUAAUAAAAAAUAUUGACAAGGUGAUAAAAGGACAGUAUUCAAACAUGCUGUAUGAUUAUACCCGUUAAAAUUCCAUUUAUUUUUUUCCUUUUAUUAAAGUUGGCUUUUACAGCUUCUCCCUCUGUUCCUCACGGCCCUUCUCCAUCUCCCUGACUGGAUCCACCACCUUUCUGCCUUUCUUUAGAAAACAAAUAGGCUUCUAAGAGAUUGAGAGGGCUUCUGGGUGGGGCUUGUGUCCACUUCACCUUCCAGCUCUAGUGCAGACUCACACAGGCCCCGUGCCUGCUGCCAGUCUCUUGUGAGUUCAUAUGUGCAUCAGUCCUCAUGAUUUAGAGUCUUGAUUUCUUGGUGUCUUCAUCCACUCUGGUUUUUACAUCCUUUUAACUCUUCUACCUGAGGGUUCCUGGGGGGAGCAAUUUGAUGGAGAUGUCCUAAAUUCAGGAAGGAGUGUUCCAAGGUCUCUUAUUCUCUGUAUAACUCAGGCUGAGUUUCUAUAUCUGUUCCCAUCUGUACAGGAAGAAGCCUCUCUGAUCAUGGCUGAGAAAGGUACUGAUCUAUGGGUGUAGCUGGAUGUCCUUAGGAGUCAUUUUAUUACUGUGCUCUUUUAGCAGAUCAGUUCUAUUUGGUUUACCCUAGAUCCAAGCUGGCUAUCUAGUCUCAAGUUCUUAGCCACCCAAGUAGUAUUAGGUAAGGGUUCCAUCUUGUGGAGUGGGCCUAAAGUUACAUCAGAUAUUGGUUGGUCACUCCCACAAGUUUUGUGCCACCACUGCACUAGCUUCUCCUGAAGGCUUCACACCAUUGUAGAUCAAAGGGUUUGUGGUUGAUUGGUGUUUAUGUUUCUCCUUUUGGAGUGUGCAGACUACCUUCUUGUACCAAAGACAUUAGAAUGUAGGGGUGAAGUCUCUAUGUGGGUACCAGCUCAACUUCUCCAUGUUCAAUGAGUUCUGUAGGUGUUGUCUGCUUUGGGGGCUUUUCAGUCAGUCUGUGGAGAGCAAAAUGUUUAUCUAAGUAUUAAAAGUUGGCACUUAGGAAUGAAGAUGGGCUAGAGGUCCACAAAUGGGAAGAAAACAGUAUAUAGCAUCAAAAUCUGCUUGUCCCCUGAGAACAGCAUCCAAGAGUGAGUAGGAGAGGCCACAAUAGUCUGCUACAGAUCUGGGGAUGAAACUGGAAAACUGCAUAUGGAGACGAGAAGGAAGAGUGACGAUCCUAAGCUCUCCUCCCUGCUGCCCUGGCAGCCUUGUCUGCAGGUUCCCAGGGAAGCUGGGAUAAAUCAAUGGGUGAGGGGAAGGAAGUUUGGUUUAUGUAUGUGUGACUAAAGAUGGGGGCAGCAGGGAGGGGAGGUUCCUGUGGGUGGUCUGCUACAGAGCUGGGGAUGAGACAGUGGGACUGGAUUCAGAGAGGAAAGAGAGGUGAAGAUUGAAGUUAUGCUGGCUGUCUGCUUCCCUAUAAUUAUAUUAUAAAAGUAAUUUGUUUUUAAGGAGAAUUUAGUUUCAGAGUGAAAACAUAUGUUUUCCUAUGGCUUUCUAGGAACGCUAGUGAAGCCAAAGACCUUGGAGCAGAACCUGCAGUCAGUACUUUACUCAACUUUACCAAACCAGAACAAUUCCUAACAGCAGU
RNAcentral lists this long non-coding RNA (3002 nucleotides) under Mus spretus (western wild mouse). RNAcentral describes it as "lncRNA (ENSMSPG00010031341.1)". The record is from RNAcentral. Lineage: Eukaryota; Metazoa; Chordata; Mammalia; Rodentia; Muridae.